Molecule: ribosomal RNA, 798 nt
Filed under: uncultured archaeon
Lineage: Archaea
Description: bacterial SSU rRNA
Rfam family: Archaeal small subunit ribosomal RNA
Source: RNAcentral
UACGGCUCAGUAACACGUGGAUAACCUGCCCUUGGGUCCGGCAUAACCCCGGGAAACUGGGGAUAAUUCCGGAUAUCGCAUAUUUGCUGGAAUGCUUUAUGCGUCAAAUGGAUUCGUCUGCCCAAGGAUGGGUCUGCGGCCUAUCAGGUAGUAGUGGGUGUAAUGUACCUACUAGCCGACAACGGGUACGGGUUGUGAGAGCAAGAGCCCGGAGAUGGAUUCUGAGACAUGAAUCCAGGCCCUACGGGGCGCAGCAGGCGCGAAAACUUUACAAUGCGGGAAACCGUGAUAAGGGGACACCGAGUGCCAGCAUCAUAUGCUGGCUGUCCAGGUGUGUAAAAUACACCUGUUAGCAAGGGCCGGGCAAGACCGGUGCCAGCCGCCGCGGUAACACCGGCGGCCCGAGUGGUGAUCGUGAUUAUUGGGUCUAAAGGGUCCGUAGCCGGUUUGGUCAGUCCUCCGGGAAAUCUGAUAGCUCAACUAUUAGGCUUUCGGGGGAUACUGCCAGACUUGGAACCGGGAGAGGUAAGAGGUACUACAGGGGUAGGAGUGAAAUCUUGUAAUCCCUGUGGGACCACCUGUGGCGAAGGCGUCUUACCAGAACGGGUUCGACGGUGAGGGACGAAAGCUGGGGGCACGAACCGGAUUAGAUACCCGGGUAGUCCCAGCCGUAAACGAUGCUCGCUAGGUGUCAGGCAUGGCGCGACCGUGUCUGGUGCCGCAGGGAAGCCGUGAAGCGAGCCACCUGGGAAGUACGGCCGCAAGGCUGAAACUUAAAGGAAUUGGCGGGGGAGCACA